RNAcentral lists this ribosomal RNA (681 nucleotides) under uncultured bacterium. RNAcentral's name for it is "bacterial SSU rRNA". It matches the Rfam family "Bacterial small subunit ribosomal RNA", at positions 28 to 707 of the family's 1533-position model. The record is from RNAcentral.
AUUGAACGCUGGCGGCAUGCCUUACACAUGCAAGUCGAACGGUAGAGUAGCAAUACCCGAGAGUGGCGAACGGGUGAGUAAUAUAUCGGAACGUGCCCAGUCGUGGGGGAUAACGUAGAGAAAUUUACGCUAAUACCGCAUACGAUCUACGGAUGAAAGCGGGGGACUCGCAAGAGCCUCGCGCGAUUGGAGCGGCUGAUAUCAGAUUAGGUUGUUGGUGAGGUAAAAGCUCACCAAGCCGACGAUCUGUAGCUGGUUUGAGAGAACGACCAGCCACACUGGGACUGAGACACGGCCCAGACUCCUACGGGAGGCAGCAGUGGGGAAUUUUGGACAAUGGGCGAAAGCCUGAUCCAGCAAUGCUGCGUGUGGGAAGAAGGCCUUCGGGUUGUAAACCACUUUUGUACGGAACGAAACGCCUCGCUUUAAUACAGUGGGGUAAUGACGGUACCGUAAGAAUAAGCACCGGCUAACUACGUGCCAGCAGCCGCGGUAAUACGUAGGGUGCGAGCGUUAAUCGGAAUUACUGGGCGUAAAGCGUGCGCAGGCGGUUAUAUAAGACAGUUGUGAAAUCCCCGGGCUCAACCUGGGAAUUGCAUCUGUGACUGUAUAGCUAGAGUACGGUAGAAGGGGAUGGAAUUCCCGCGUGUACCAGUGAAAUGCGUAGAUUUGCGGAGGAAC